AGCGAACGCUGGCGGCAGGCCUAACACAUGCAAGUCGAACGAACCUUUCGGGGUUAGUGGCGGACGGGUGAGUAACACGUGGGAACGUGCCCUUAGGUUCGGAAUAACUCAGGGAAACUUGUGCUAAUACCGAAUGUGCCCUUCGGGGGAAAGAUUUAUCGCCUUUAGAGCGGCCCGCGUCUGAUUAGCUAGUUGGUUGAGGUAAUGGCUCACCAAGGCGACGAUCAGUAGCUGGUCUGAGAGGAUGAUCAGCCACAUUGGGGCUGUGACACGGCCCAAACUCCUACGGAAGGCAGCAGUGGGGAAUCUUGCGAAAUGGGGGAAGGCCUGACGCAGCCAUGCCGGGUGAAUGAUGAAGGUCUUAGGAUUGUAAAAUUCUUUCACCGGGGCCGAUAAUGACGGUACCCGGAGAAGAAGCCCCGGCUAACUACGUG
This 434-nucleotide ribosomal RNA is filed under the name uncultured bacterium. RNAcentral describes it as "partial 16S ribosomal RNA". It matches the Rfam family "Bacterial small subunit ribosomal RNA", at positions 29 to 507 of the family's 1533-position model. The record is from RNAcentral.